GUGCUUAACACAUGCAAGUCGGACGAUGCUUCCGGAGCUUGCUCUGGUGGAUUAGUGGCGAACGGGUGAGUAACACGUGAGUAACCUGCCCCUGACUCUGGGAUAAGCGCUGGAAACGGCGUCUAAUACCGGAUAUGCACUGUAACCGCAUGGUUUGCAGUGGGAAAGAUUUAUCGGUUGGGGAUGGACUCGCGGCCUAUCAGCUUGUUGGUGAGGUAAUGGCUCACCAAGGCGUCGACGGGUAGCCGGCCUGAGAGGGUGACCGGCCACACUGGGACUGAGACACGGCCCAGACUCCUACGGGAGGCAGCAGUGGGGAAUAUUGCACAAUGGGCACAAGCCUGAUGCAGCAACGCCGCGUGAGGGAUGACGGCCUUCGGGUUGUAAACCUCUUUUAGCAGGGAAGAAGGCUUCGGUUGACGGUACCUGCAGAAAAAGCGCCGGCUAACUACGUGCCAGCAGCCGCGGUAAUACGUAGGGCGCAAGCGUUAUCCGGAAUUAUUGGGCGUAAAGAGCUCGUAGGCGGUUUGUCGCGUUUGCUGUGAAAACUGGAGGCUCAACCUCCAGCCUGCAGUGGGUACGGGCAGACUAGAGUGCGGUAGGGGAGAUUGGAAUUCCUGGUGUAGCGGUGGAAUGCGCAGAUAUCAGGAGGAACACCGAUGGCGAAGGCAGAUCUCUGGGCCGUUACUGACGCUGAGGAGCGAAAGGGUGGGGAGCAAACAGGCUUAGAUACCCUGGUAGUCCACCCCGUAAACGUUGGGAACUAGUUGUGGGGGCCUUUCCACGGUCUCUGUGACGCAGCUAACGCAUUAAGUUCCCCGCCUGGGGAGUACGGCCGCAAGGCUAAAACUCAAAGGAAUUGACGGGGACCCGCACAAGCGGCGGAGCAUGCGGAUUAAUUCGAUGCAACGCGAAGAACCUUACCAAGGCUUGACAUAUACGAGAACGGGCUAGAAAUAGUCAACUCUUUGGACACUCGUAUACAGGUGGUGCAUGGUUGUCGUCAGCUCGUGUCGAGAGAUGUUGGGUUAAGUCCCGCAACGAGCGCAACCCUCGUUCUCUGUUGCCAGCACGUAAAGGUGGGCACUCAAGGGAUACUGCCGGGGUCAACUCGGAGGAAG
This 1121-nucleotide ribosomal RNA is filed under the name uncultured bacterium. RNAcentral's name for it is "bacterial SSU rRNA". It matches the Rfam family "Bacterial small subunit ribosomal RNA", at positions 44 to 1172 of the family's 1533-position model. The record is from RNAcentral.